UAAAUUCUCCAAUAACUCAAGUCCUCAGCCCCUCAAUAUCCUGAUCCUCAGUAUCUCAGACCCCAAUCCUUUUGCUCUCCGGCUUCUGUCUCCUCAUCUCUCAACCCCAGUUCCAACACCUGACACCCAGCCUCUCAGCUUCCCAAUCUCCUCUUCUAGAUUCUCAGCCUCCAAUCCUUAAAUUCUCCAAUCUCCUAGCCCUCCAGCUCUCAUAUCCUGUCCUGCCUCCAACCUCCGUAGCACACCAACUCCUGUUCUCCCAGCCCCUCCCCUCCCCAUCUGACCUGACAUUCCUACUGUUCCUGGGGUAUACCUGGCUAUCACUGCCCCUUUCCAUCCCACCUGACCAGGCGUCCUGCACCCCUUGUGCCCAGACCUGUACUCAGCUCCUCAUGAAGGAGACUGAGAAGGGGAAUGAUUCUGACUCAACCCUGAUUAAACCCACACCUCCCACCAGCUGUGAUCAUCCUGGAAUCCGAUGCUUCAUCCCAGCCUCACAGAGCCUUAAUUAUGUGCCAAGUUCAUCAGUGUUUGCAGAGCUCAUCACCAUCUGCAGAGCAC
Molecule: long non-coding RNA, 561 nt
Filed under: Capra hircus (goat)
Lineage: Eukaryota; Metazoa; Chordata; Mammalia; Artiodactyla; Bovidae
Description: lncRNA (ENSCHIG00010027251.1)
Source: RNAcentral